AUUCUUUUGGGGGGAGGUUCAUGAACAUGAUGAUAAGGUAUUUACAACUAUGUAACAUAUGCCUCCCACAACCUUGUUAUAACCACAUUGGCACAUUAUCCAUCUAUUG
Molecule: non-coding RNA, 109 nt
Organism: Mesocricetus auratus (golden hamster)
Lineage: Eukaryota; Metazoa; Chordata; Mammalia; Rodentia; Cricetidae
Source: Rfam